UGAACGCUGGCGGUAGGCCUAACACAUGCACGUCGAACGGCAGCACAGUAAGAGCUUGCUCUUACGGGUGGCGAGUGGCGGACGGGUGAGGAAUACAUCGGAAUCUACUUUUUCGUGGGGGAUAACGUAGGGAAACUUACGCUAAUACCGCAUACGACCUACGGGUGAAAGCAGGGGAUCUUCGGACCUUGCGCGAUUGAAUGAGCCGAUGUCGGAUUAGCUAGUUGGCGGGGUAAAGGCCCACCAAGGCGACGAUCCGUAGCUGGUCUGAGAGGAUGAUCAGCCACACUGGAACUGAGACACGGUCCAGACUCCUACGGGAGGCAGCAGUGGGGAAUAUUGGACAAUGGGCGCAAGCCUGAUCCAGCCAUACCGCGUGGGUGAAGAAGGCCUUCGGGUUGUAAAGCCCUUUUGUUGGGAAAGAAAAGCAGCAGGUUAAUACCCCGCUGUUCUGACGGUACCCAAAGAAUAAGCACCGGCUAACUUCG
Molecule: ribosomal RNA, 488 nt
Filed under: uncultured bacterium
Lineage: Bacteria
Description: partial 16S ribosomal RNA
Rfam family: Bacterial small subunit ribosomal RNA
Source: RNAcentral